Molecule: ribosomal RNA, 253 nt
Filed under: uncultured bacterium
Lineage: Bacteria
Description: partial 16S ribosomal RNA
Rfam family: Bacterial small subunit ribosomal RNA
Source: RNAcentral
UACGUAGGGUGCAAGCGUUAAUCGGAAUUACUGGGCGUAAAGCGUGCGCAGGCGGUUAUGCAAGACAGAUGUGAAAUCCCCGGGCUUAACCUGGGAACCGCAUUUGUGACUGCAUAGCUGGAGUACGGCAGAGGGGGAUGGAAUUCCGCGUGUAGCAGUGAAAUGCGUAGAUAUGCGGAGGAACACCGAUGGCGAAGGCAGUCCCCUGGGCCUGUACUGACGUUCAUGCACGAAAGCGUGGGGAGCAAACAGG